Molecule: RNA transcript, 4191 nt
Organism: Syngnathoides biaculeatus (alligator pipefish)
Lineage: Eukaryota; Metazoa; Chordata; Actinopteri; Syngnathiformes; Syngnathidae
Gene name: KIAA0586 ortholog
Exons: 22
Source: RefSeq, a predicted model, not a curated record
AAAUCGCGGUUGAUUUUUGCGACUCAGCUCCGGUCACCGAUGUCAAUCCGAGUGAGACGUCUCGGCGGUUUUCGGUGAAGCGGGAUCUUUGGCCGGGAGCGGAAGCCGGAAGCCGGAAGUCCGCAACAAUCGACUGUUGCGGACUUUUGACGCUUUCACGUUUUUUCUUUCCCGAGUUUGGUCACCGCAGGUGCGUCUUUCCGGUCGAAGGCGCAACAUCGAAACGUCCCAAACGCCAUUUUGCGGACGUAAACGUGUCCUGGCGGAGCUUUCGCGGUCGUGUCACUUUGAGCGGGAACUCCAGACUUCGGCCAUGAGCGUGGACGGAACCGGGUCCGACGCCGAACCGGCCCACGGGCAGGUCCGUUUGACCAUUCAGAAGAUGAGCGGCGUGCCCCCGCGCAGUUCCAGACGCCCGAAACCGCGCCGAGGAGCUCCUCGUCGGACGCCGGCCACCUCUCAAGCCGGUCACGACCUCCUUACCUCCCAUUUUGAGUUGGGGUCUCGGGGGGCCGUGCUGGCGGCCCUCAAGCAGCGCUCCCUCAGCGCCCCCCAGAGGCGGGAGGUGAAAGUUCAGCUGCUCGAGCCUCCGCAGAGCGGCUCCCGCGGUGCGUCCGGCGCCCGCCAGGGGGCGCGGGCGCCGUCCGCUAAGCCGGGGGACGACCUCAGUACGAGCGGCGGCGCCGCGGCACCUGCAAAAGGCGAGUGUUCGCAGGAUCUGCUUCAGCAGCCGCCGGACGCCCUCCACAGGCAGAACUUGGCCAGUGCGAGCGGUCCGGGCAAGACGGCGGUCCUGCGCGACGGCCGUCCGGAGCUCGAGGUCAGCGGGCUGAUCGCCGCCGACCGUUUUGUUUUUCUCGCCGGCGCACAUUGUCCUCGCGGUCGGUCGCGGAAUCCGGCGCUGCGGGGGCCCCUCGGCGCUGUCACGGGCCGCUCGCCGGACGACCCGGUCCGAUCCGGCGCUCAGCGGGUUGACGCCGCAGCGAACGUCGUCGACCCGUCGGCCAAGACCAGCGUGGGGACUGACCCGGUUACCACGGCAACAUGCACCGACCGCACCAGGGAGGAGCGCCGCCCGAGAGUUGUUUCCGUGGCAACCCAAGCCGACGACAGUCUGGCGGAGCCGGCCAAUGAGGCGGCGACGGAGGCGGGGCCUGCCCGGACGGAGAGGGAGGCGGCGGCGGCGGCGGCGUCCGCGUUGACGGAGGCGCGCCAGCGGCUGCGCCAGUUUCAGCGGCAGAAGAAAGUUCUGGACGAGAACCUGGAGACCGCGGAGAGGUUCCGAAGCGGGGAGAUCCUCCGCUGCCAGCUGGAGGCUCUGGCGGCAAACAGCGACUGCAGCGAGCGGGCCCGCGUCAAGAGGACGGUGGACGCGUGGAUACACCUGAUGGCCAAAGACGUGCAGGACAGGAUGGAAGAGGAGGCGGCCAAUCGCAGAAGCUUCCGGACCGGGGCGGCGGACGGCGGAACCUCCGCCCGGCCGGGCCGGCCGGCCAGCGCGCCCAGAGGAUCGGGAAGUAAGAGGACGGCGGCUGGACGAGGACUCCGAAGCCGACCGGCGGCACCGAGAAGGGCCGGAGCCGCCGCCGAGUCUUACCUGACGCGUCUGUACGGGAGGGCGCCCCGCGACGUCAAGAGCAGCCCGCCGCUUCGCUCGAGUUCCGUGACGGCGGCCGUCGACGGGAAGCCGCGGCGCCCUGCGGUCAACAACGCUGUGAGAGGUGCUACGGUGAAACCGGCGCCGCCGCCGCCGCCCCUCCUCCCGGCACCUGCACGACGGCAGCCCCCCGCCAAGACUCCUCCUCCCCCCGUGGCCAUCCCAUUAGCGCAUCCACGUAUAGGCCCCUCCCCCAGGUGUCAACAGGCGGCGACGUCGCUUCCUGUCGCGUCGUCCCGCGUGGAGCACGCUGCGCCGGGACCUCCCGCUACAGGUUCUCCCGUGGCGGACUGUCCUCCGCCGCCCCCCCUCCCUCAGCUGAGUCCCGUCCCCGUAGAGGAGCACGAAGAGCUUGUCGUGGAGUCGGGAGGAGCGCCAGAUCGAGGUCCUGAGGCGAAACCGGACUCAGGGCCGGAGGACGCCGCGGAAGCUCGGCCCGCUUCGGCGGAGACGAGCGGCGAGGAGGAACGGGAGGAAUGGAGCGGGUUCCCCGGAACGGACUUCCUUUCCAUUGGGGACGUGGUCCACGCGACCCCUGGCGCCGACGUACCCACGGCCGACCGAUGUCGUUCCGGGCGGGCCCAGGACCCCGUCGCGGUGCCGGAGGGUGUCGCGGGCGAGGAAGCGCUCCUUUUGGAUGGGGGUCCGUCUCGUCGGCCGGUCGUCUACCGGGGUCCGGUCUUCCCCCCCGAGAAGCACGCUGCCCUUCCUGACCCCCGUCACGGCUCUGCGCCCACCCUGGACGAGAACCUGCUCGACCGUCUGGUGCAGUGGGUGGAGCAGCAGCUGAUGUCCAGAGUGAUCUCCCAGAACUUCCCGCCUUCUCUCGACCAGAACGACCGAUCGGACGCGGAAGAGCGGAGCCUCGCCUCAGACACGGUGGAGGCAGCGGGCGGAGGUGGUCUGGAGCAGUUCUUCGUAGACGCCGGGAUCUGCGUGGACUCUCCUUUAGUCAAGGAACUGGUUCACGAGGUCUUGGCUGAAAUUGUGGACCAGGUGCUGCCUUCAGUUCCAGGACCCGGACCAGAUCCAGAGUCGGGGGUCGUCUCCUUCUUCCAGGAGAAAACUGUUCCCGUGGUUUCUGUGGUUCCUGUGGUUGUCACACCUCUAGCGACCCCUCUCCCGAGUCCCGUUCCGUCCAUCCGAGACCCCGUCCCGUUCUCCACGCCGCCUCCGUCCGAACCGAGCGGCUCGCCGAUCGGCGAGGCCCCCCCAGAAGCCGUCCCCACCCCCCCUGCCAGCCCUGAGCCGUUUCGCCUUGAAGAAAUCCGUCCGGCGCUGACCCCGGCGUCCUCGGAGAACGACCGCCCGGAUCCACGGGCGCAAUCGUCGGAUGUGCAAAAAGAAGAAGAAAAAGAAGGUCCCCGCCCCCCCUCUCCCGUACAAGCUCCUCAGCGGGCUGAGCCAGAACCCGAAGACACCGACAGCACCGCCGGCAGCACCGGCGACAGCAGCAGCACCGUCACCGGAAGUGAGGCGGGACUCAAACUGGUCUCUGAAGGAGAACUGCUCAUCAGCUUCAACCACACGGAUGCCAUCGCGGGGGGGGCCAGCUCCUCAAGUUCUCUUCAGGAUGUGGAGGAGGAGCUCAGCGCGGGGGAGGUGACGGCCUCAAAAGUCCACCAGUCCGGAGGUGCCGCCGGUCCCGUCGCGAGUACAACCGCGGUGUCGCCACAACCGUCUGGUCCUCUGACAGGCGCCGUUUUGGAGGCCACCGACGGGAGCUUCAACUACGACCUCCAAAGCCAACCCUCUCGGGCGUUCCCGUUCCGAGCUGGGAGGCCGCCGUCAGGUAGGCGAGGCGACCUUUUAUUGUGAAAGGCGUGGCGGCGUCUGUCUGCUUGCGUGCUAAAGAAAGCCGACUCGUGGGCUCAGGCUGCGCCCGUUCGCCAUAGUACGGAGCCGAGGAAGGAAAUGAAAAUGUCCAAAAAGACAAAAAAGAAAAGUUGCUCUUCAAAGGAAGAAACGAUGACGAUCCUCGAAGAAUUUCUUUUGUGCGCGUGUGGAGGAACUUAGUCGAGUUAGCGAUCAUCACGUCCACGUCACACGGGAGUCAUAAAAUCUGUGUGGUUGAGUCUGAACAGUUGCCAGAGGGUGUGUACACAUGUGCAACCUUAGCAUCUCACUUAUUUCUUUUAAAUUUAUUUUUUUGGUGGGGGUGGGGGUAAAAAGUCUGACAAUGGACCAGGGGUGUGCAGACUUUUGCUAUCCAAUCCACCUCGUCAGCGUGACUUUGGCCAGCGGGAAGAAGGCGAGGGCCCAUCUUCGGACGACUCCGGCGAUUUCUUCUGACCUCCUCGGGGCAGGCUUUAGGACCCGGCGACAAAUGUGACAGAAGAGCCACGUGAUGUUUUAAAACACAAAUAUCACCAACAACGGUUUUUUGGGAGGGGGGGGGGAGGGGCAGGAUUUGAACUUCAGGAAGUCAAGACGGUCGACCUUCCAGAAUGAAAUGUGGAUUAAUGACUCGUCACCUUUGGCUCUUUCAUGUCAAUAGAAAUAAAGAUUUCAUUGUGUUCAGUUUGAAAAAACAA